AAGUCGUAACAAGGUUUCCGUAGGUGAACCUGCGGAAGGAUCAUUAAAAGUGAUUGGGUUAUACAUUUCAUGUAUCAACCGCACUUAACCCAUUCCGAUGUACCUUGCCUGUUGCUUCCAUGGGGCCUGACCCUGACGGUCACUCUUGUGAUGUGGAACCCAAGAGAGUCCCCCAAUGGGAGGUAAAUCAUUAAAUUCAUGUAUCCAAUGUCUUCUGUCUGAACUGUUUAUAACAAAUGUUAAAA
Molecule: unclassified non-coding RNA, 245 nt
Filed under: plant metagenome
Description: partial contains small subunit ribosomal RNA and internal transcribed spacer 1
Rfam family: Eukaryotic small subunit ribosomal RNA (bases 1-46)
Source: RNAcentral